Molecule: ribosomal RNA, 403 nt
Filed under: uncultured bacterium
Lineage: Bacteria
Description: bacterial SSU rRNA
Rfam family: Bacterial small subunit ribosomal RNA
Source: RNAcentral
GGGGAAUAUUGGGCAAUGGGGGCAACCCUGACCCAGCAACGCCGCGUGAAGGAAGAAGGCCUUCGGGUUGUAAACUUCUUUGACCAGGGACGAAGGAAGUGACGGUACCUGGAAAACAAGCCACGGCUAACUACGUGCCAGCAGCCGCGGUAAUACGUAGGUGGCGAGCGUUGUCCGGAUUUACUGGGUGUAAAGGGCGCGUAGGCGGGGAUGCAAGUCAGAUGUGAAAUCUGAGGGCUUAACCCUCAAACUGCAUUUGAAACUGUAUCUCUUGAGUGAUGGAGAGGCAGGCGGAAUUCCUAGUGUAGCGGUGAAAUGCGUAGAUAUUAGGAGGAACACCAGUGGCGAAGGCGGCCUGCUGGACAUUAACUGACGCUGAGGCGCGAAAGCGUGGGGAGCAAAC